Molecule: ribosomal RNA, 373 nt
Filed under: uncultured Fastidiosipila sp.
Lineage: Bacteria; Bacillati; Bacillota; Clostridia; Eubacteriales; Oscillospiraceae
Description: bacterial SSU rRNA
Rfam family: Bacterial small subunit ribosomal RNA
Source: RNAcentral
UGGUAAUGAAGCGAAAGCUAAGUGACCGCAGGAGCUAGCACAGGUGCUGCAUGGCUGUCGUCAGCUCGUGUCGUGAGAUGUUCGGUUAAGUCCGCUAACGAGCGCAACCCUCGCUGUGUGUUACAAGUGUCACACAGGACCGCCGGUCUUAAGCCGGAGGAAGGUGGGGAUGACGUCAAGUCAGCAUGGCCUUUAUGUCCAGGGCUACACACACGCUACAAUGGUCAGCACAAUAGGUAGCCAAGCCGCGAGGUGGAGCCAAUCCUCAAAGCUGGCCUCAGUUCAGAUCGCAGGCUGCAACCCGCCUGCGUGAAGCCGGAGUUGCUAGUAACCGCAGGUCAGCUAUACUGCGGUGAAUACGUUCCCGGGGCUU